This 561-nucleotide ribosomal RNA is filed under the name Arxotrichum deceptivum. RNAcentral describes it as "partial 28S ribosomal RNA". It matches the Rfam family "Eukaryotic large subunit ribosomal RNA", at positions 38 to 625 of the family's 3401-position model. The record is from RNAcentral. Lineage: Eukaryota; Fungi; Ascomycota; Sordariomycetes; Sordariales; Chaetomiaceae.
GCAUAUCAAUAAGCGGAGGAAAAGAAACCAACAGGGAUUGCCCUAGUAACGGCGAGUGAAGCGGCAACAGCUCAAAUUUGAAAUCUGGCUUCGGCCCGAGUUGUAAUUUGCAGAGGAAGCUUUAGGCGCGGCACCAUCUGAGUCCCCUGGAACGGGGCGCCAUAGAGGGUGAGAGCCCCGUAUAGUUGGACGCCUAGCCUGUGUAAAGCUCCUUCGACGAGUCGAGUAGUUUGGGAAUGCUGCUCAAAAUGGGAGGUAAAUUUCUUCUAAAGCUAAAUACCGGCCAGAGACCGAUAGCGCACAAGUAGAGUGAUCGAAAGAUGAAAAGCACUUUGAAAAGAGGGUUAAAUAGCACGUGAAAUUGUUGAAAGGGAAGCGCUUGUGACCAGACUUGCGCCGGGCGGAUCAUCCGGUGUUCUCACCGGUGCACUCCGCCCGGCUCAGGCCAGCAUCGGUUCUCGCGGGGGGAUAAAGGCCCUGGGAACGUAGCUCCUCCGGGAGUGUUAUAGCCCAGGGCGUAAUGCCCUCGCGGGGACCGAGGACCGCGCAUCUGCAAGGAUG